AAUAGAUACCCAGGUAGUCCACCCCGUAAACGUUGGGAACUAGUUGUGGGGUCCUUUCCACGGAUUCCGUGACGCAGCUAACGCAUUAAGUUCCCCGCCUGGGGAGUACGGCCGCAAGGCUAAAACUCAAAGGAAUUGACGGGGACCCGCACAAGCGGCGGAGCAUGCGGAUUAAUUCGAUGCAACGCGAAGAACCUUACCAAGGCUUGACAUACACCAGAACACCCUAGAAAUAGGGGACUCUUUGGACACUGGUGAACAGGUGGUGCAUGGUUGUCGUCAGCUCGUGUCGUGAGAUGUUGGGUUAAGUCCCGCAACGAGCGCAACCCUCGUUCUAUGUUGCCAGCACGUAAUGGUGGGAACUCAUGGGAUACUGCCGGGGUCAACUCGGAGGAAGGUGGGGAUGACGUCAAAUCAUCAUGCCCCUUAUGUCUUGGGCUUCACGCAUGCUACAAUGGCCGGUACAAAGGGCUGCAAUACCGUGAGGUGGAGCGAAUCCCAAAAAGCCGGUCCCGAGUUCGGAUUGAGGUCUGCAACUCGACCUC
This 545-nucleotide ribosomal RNA is filed under the name uncultured bacterium. RNAcentral describes it as "bacterial SSU rRNA". It matches the Rfam family "Bacterial small subunit ribosomal RNA", at positions 777 to 1319 of the family's 1533-position model. The record is from RNAcentral.